UGAUAGCUGUGAAGCGUGAGGUUGCUGCCUAAUAUAUGGUAGGUUUUCCGUGGAGCGAAUGUCAAGUUAGGAAACUGGCGACAA
Molecule: non-coding RNA, 84 nt
Filed under: uncultured Sporofaciens sp.
Lineage: Bacteria; Bacillati; Bacillota; Clostridia; Lachnospirales; Lachnospiraceae
Description: S10-Clostridia ribosomal protein leader
Rfam family: S10-Clostridia ribosomal protein leader
Source: RNAcentral